Non-coding RNA from Dipodomys ordii (Ord's kangaroo rat), 70 nucleotides. NCBI's taxonomy places the organism in Eukaryota, Metazoa, Chordata, Mammalia, Rodentia, Heteromyidae. The record is from Rfam.
GGGAAUGUGGCUUAGUGGUAGAGUGCUUGCCUAGCAUGCAUGAAGCCCUGGGUUCAAGUCCUCAGUACCA